RNAcentral lists this ribosomal RNA (468 nucleotides) under uncultured bacterium. RNAcentral describes it as "partial 16S ribosomal RNA". It matches the Rfam family "Bacterial small subunit ribosomal RNA", at positions 28 to 507 of the family's 1533-position model. The record is from RNAcentral.
GACGAACGCUGGCGGCGUGCUUAACACAUGCAAGUCGAACGGAAAGGCCCUGCUUUUGUGGGGUGCUCGAGUGGCGAACGGGUGAGUAACACGUGAGUAACCUGCCCUUGACUUUGGGAUAACUUCAGGAAACUGGGGCUAAUACCGGAUAGGAGCUCCUGCUGCAUGGUGGGGGUUGGAAAGUUUCGGCGGUUGGGGAUGGACUCGCGGCUUAUCAGCUUGUUGGUGGGGUAGUGGCUUACCAAGGCUUUGACGGGUAGCCGGCCUGAGAGGGUGACCGGCCACAUUGGGACUGAGAUACGGCCCGGACUCCUACGGGAGGCAGCAGUGGGGAAUAUUGCACAAUGGGCGGAAGCCUGAUGCAGCAACGCCGCGUGCGGGAUGACGGCCUUCGGGCUGUAAACCGCUUUCGCCUGUGACGAAGCGUGAGUGACGGUAAUGGGUAAAGAAGCACCGGCUAACUACGUG